CCUACGGGGGGCUGCAGUGGGGAAUAUUGGACAAUGGGGGGAACCCUGAUCCAGCCAUGCCGCGUGUGUGAAGAAGGCCCUCGGGUUGUAAAGCACUUUCAGUGAGGAAGAACGCCUGGUGGUUAAUACCCAUCAGGAAAGACAUCACUCACAGAAGAAGCACCGGCUAACUCCGUGCCAGCAGCCGCGGUAAUACGGAGGGUGCGAGCGUUAAUCGGAAUUACUGGGCGUAAAGCGCGCGUAGGUGGCUUGAUAAGCCGGUUGUGAAAGCCCCGGGCUCAACCGGGGAACGGCAUCCGGAACUGUCAAGCUAGAGUGCAGGAGAGGAAGGUAGAAUUGCCGGUGUAGCGGUGAAAUGCGUAGAGAUCGGGAGGAAUACCAGUGGCGAAGGCGGCCUUCUGGACUGACACUGACACUGAGGUGCGAAAGCGUGGGUAGCAAACAGGAUUAGAUACCCUGGUAGUC
RNAcentral lists this ribosomal RNA (465 nucleotides) under Vreelandella stevensii. RNAcentral describes it as "partial 16S ribosomal RNA". It matches the Rfam family "Bacterial small subunit ribosomal RNA", at positions 338 to 795 of the family's 1533-position model. Lineage: Bacteria; Pseudomonadati; Pseudomonadota; Gammaproteobacteria; Oceanospirillales; Halomonadaceae. The record is from RNAcentral.